UGGGGAAUUUUGGACAAUGGGCGCAAGCCUGAUCCAGCCAUGCCGCGUGCAGGAUGAAGGUCUUAUGGAUUGUAAACUUCUUUUACACGGGAAUAAAGUGGGGGACGUGUCCCCCUUUGCAUGUACCGUGUGAAUAAGGAUCGGCUAACUCCGUGCCAGCAGCCGCGGUAAUACGGAGGAUCCGAGCGUUAUCCGGAUUUAUUGGGUUUAAAGGGUGCGCAGGCGGGAUGUUAAGUCGGCGGUGAAAUUUUGCAGCUCAACUGUAAAAGUGCCUUCGAUACUGGCCUUCUUGAGUGUGGAUGAAGUAGGCGGAAUUUGUGGUGUAGCGGUGAAAUGCUUAGAUAUCACGAGGAACUCCGAUUGCGCAGGCAGCUUACUAAGCCACAACUGACGCUCAUGCACGAAGGCGUGGGGAUCAAACA
RNAcentral lists this ribosomal RNA (422 nucleotides) under uncultured bacterium. RNAcentral's name for it is "bacterial SSU rRNA". It matches the Rfam family "Bacterial small subunit ribosomal RNA", at positions 355 to 774 of the family's 1533-position model. The record is from RNAcentral.